AUCUGGGAGCUGGGUGGCAGUAUUGUAGCCAAUGAGGUUUAUCUGAGGAACAAUUAUUGCUAAUUGAAAGUGGAAUAUAAGGGACUUGAACUAUCUACUCCAGUAGGAAGUAUGGGUACUCCCAACAGAUGG
RNAcentral lists this small nuclear RNA (132 nucleotides) under Ochotona princeps (American pika). Its description in RNAcentral is "U4 spliceosomal RNA (ENSOPRG00000022653.1)". It matches the Rfam family "U4 spliceosomal RNA". From Rfam's summary of the family: U4 small nuclear RNA (U4 snRNA) is a component of the major U2-dependent spliceosome. The structure of U4 snRNA from yeast and human has been reported. U4 snRNA presents a k-turn RNA motif in the 5p-SL related to recognition of Snu13 protein. Lineage: Eukaryota; Metazoa; Chordata; Mammalia; Lagomorpha; Ochotonidae. The record is from RNAcentral.